RNAcentral lists this transfer RNA (66 nucleotides) under Thenus orientalis. Its description in RNAcentral is "tRNA-Gly". The record is from RNAcentral. Lineage: Eukaryota; Metazoa; Arthropoda; Malacostraca; Decapoda; Scyllaridae.
AUCUUUCUAGUAUAAAAAGUACACUUGACUUCCAAUCAAAAGGUUUAAAUAAAUUUAAGAUAGAUA